AGCAGUGUGGCUUAGAGGAAAGAGCCUGGGCUUGGGAAUCAGAGAUUGUGGGUUCUAAUCCCGCUUCCGCCA
RNAcentral lists this transfer RNA (72 nucleotides) under Ornithorhynchus anatinus (platypus). It matches the Rfam family "tRNA". Rfam says of the family: Transfer RNA (tRNA) molecules are approximately 80 nucleotides in length. The record is from Rfam by way of RNAcentral. Lineage: Eukaryota; Metazoa; Chordata; Mammalia; Monotremata; Ornithorhynchidae.